AAAAACAAAACAUCUGAAAGAUGCUGCUUUCAUUUCAGACGGAGGGAACUCAUUUUGAAACCUCAAGAGCUGCUGUGAAAUGGGAUCACGCUCUGCCAGGGAGCUCCAGUGCCUACGUGCCUCACCGAAAUCGUGACGAAUUCUCACUCCCAGCCCACCACGUGAGUCGUGUGGUGCCUCUGGAAAGAGAACGUGGGCAUUGCAUGUGACACCAUGUGAUGUGGAAGCAAGAGACAUCGAUGUUCCUUCAAACUCAUGGUCAGGAGCAUCGCUGACUCCUCUAUAUCCAUGUAUGCAGAGUUGCUUCCACCCAACUGCAGUCUAAGCCACGGACAGCUGUCCUGUUUGAGACCUAGCCCCUCGUAUCUAGCUCCUCUGACCUACUGGCAGGACUCCUUGGAAGGACUAAUUUUCAUCAAGGUAAGAUAUGACAAUGUUUUGAGCUCAUGUGAUCAGCUCAGCUGAACCCCUAAGUGACAUUGCGAGCCUAAAUAGAUGAAACCAAAGUAAGUUAUCACCUUUGUUGACAAGUGACUUUUUCUUUCCGAUGAAGUGAGCAAGCCUGAGCAUUACCACAGGAAUUUCAAGUGGGUGGGAGAAAGGAUGAAAAAUUGUCAACAGGAUGUGUUCAGAAGUGAACAGCACUGCUCAGGGAUAGAUUUUUGCAACCUAUCUUCAUUAAUAUCU
This 687-nucleotide long non-coding RNA is filed under the name Calidris pugnax (ruff). Its description in RNAcentral is "lncRNA (ENSCPUG00000016603.1)". Lineage: Eukaryota; Metazoa; Chordata; Aves; Charadriiformes; Scolopacidae. The record is from RNAcentral.